Long non-coding RNA from Acanthochromis polyacanthus (spiny chromis), 754 nucleotides. RefSeq lists it as uncharacterized. The transcript is spliced from 3 exons. NCBI's taxonomy places the organism in Eukaryota, Metazoa, Chordata, Actinopteri, Pomacentridae. The record is from RefSeq and is a predicted model, not a curated record.
GAGGACAUCUAACCUACAAAUAUGAGGAAUACAACAUGAGAACUAAUGUAACAGUGGGAGGGAAGACGAGUGUCUGAGUGGGAGGCAGAGAGAGAAACAAACCCUGCACAGUAAAUGGGCGUGGAAGUUUCGCAGAGUUUCAUUCCAGACUCUCCUUCCUGUCAUUCAACAACUUAUAUGGCUCUGGAAUUCCACUGAUUCAGAAGCUGUUGUCUAACACGGUCACAGGAGUGUUUGGACGACCACAUGCAGGGAUUUAAACUUUUAUGAUUUUAAGGAGGACGCUUCAGAUUGCACCUGUCACUGGAAUCUUCCUGAGGAGACAAGAAGAAAAUACACCUGCCGAUUACUUUAAUAUCUGAUAACAGAGUGGACAAACUUUGCUUCAUAGAACGAGUCAGCUCACAUUGAUCAGAGAUGUCAAACUCAGCUGAGACGCAUGUAACGGUGGAAGAAGAGAUCCCGUUGAAUACUGUACCAGGAACAGGCGACGCAGAAAACAACGACACUUGUGAUGAAGGAGUAAUCAGCGCUGCUCCUUUCUGCACAGACAAGCAUCACAGGAAACUGGCCAUCUGCAGCAUCAUCUGUGGGGUCUCCUGCAUCGGAGUCAAAGCUCUGAUCUACUCAGUCAAGGCCGAGAUGUCGGAGGAUCUAGAAGCAGCUCAGAAUCUUUCACAACGGGCGAAAAAAUUCAGCAUCAUCUCCAUCGUGAUUUGGGUCCUGAUUGUGGCGUCAUUUCCCUUGUUAAUGG